GACAUUCAUUUCCAGCUAGAGCUUGGGCAAUAACGUCCAUAAAUGUUACCAUGAUCAAUUUCAAUCUCAAUAUUUAUCACAAUCGACUACUUCACAUCACUGUCACACUUUUUAAAGAAUCUUUUUAAAUAAUGCAAGCUGAAUAAACCAAAAGUUCCUUACAGCUUAGCAGAACAUAAUAUACAGUACUGUGCAGAAGCCUUAGGCACCAUAUUUAUUUGUAGAAAUUGUGUUAUAUUUGAUGUUUAUUUUAUGACUUCUGUAUUAUUGAGUCAGUACAAAAUCAUUUCAGAUUUCCACACGUUUCUUUUCCAACAAAAAAUGUUACAGAAAAUCACCAAAAGAAGCAAGUGUGAGAGUCAGAGUCUCCAGAAGAGCUGUAUCAGUACUGUAUCAGAAGCUCAGUAAAACCUACCGGCUCAUUUCCUUAAAACAGGUUCAUGCAGAAGUGUUUAGUUGCAUUAUUUCUGAAGGCACGUUUGCUUUACGGCAUUUCUUUGCAUGUGCCUGAGACUUUUGCCCAGUACUGUAUAUGCAAACAGUAUACAAAAUGAUACAAGAGAAAGCAGUGUUACACACGCUGCAGGGGCAGACAAAUGAUAAAUUCAUGAGCUCUCCCACCGAGUGAGUAAAACCUCCAGUGUUCAGCGCAGUCCCAUGUUUUGGUUGCCUGGUACCCUAAUUAACUCGGCUAAUAAAUAUCAGCUAAUUUCAUGUGAUAAUGUAUGGGAAGCUCGCUAAGUCCUUUAAUACAGACUAAGGUAAAUGAAUUUCCAUAGAGGAGACGAUUUUACUUAGCCAUAGUCUUUAUCAUCAUCUAAACUGUUCCUAAUUAAUGUGCGUAGUAACAUUACACACCAUGAAGCACAAUAUAUUUAAACAUAUCGAAUUGAAACUUUUUUGUGAACGUCAAUAAGAAGGAGAGUUUUUUCCUCUGGUUGCUGUUUAUUAUUACGUACCUGUGCAUACACUGCAAAGCGCACAUAAAAUACAUGCUGCGUUACAACUUACUCCUGGGACAGUGAUGCCUUAUUCCUCUGUACAACAUAUGGAAACAGCAAUAAUUACAAUAUACAAUACAAGGUACACUGCAAUAUAAAAUACCAUUUAAAGUAGUAUACAGCUUGUGUGCCUCUGCCAGAAGUGACCUCUGUUGUCUAGCUGUUCUGCUAGUAGCAUUGUUCAUGUCUCUUCUGUUACGGAGUCCAUACCUAGACUGAGUGACAGACAGACGUUCAUGCAGUGGACUAGGUGGAUCUUGCAGGCAGCUACAGUCCAAAGAACAUCUGCUUAUCCUGGGCUGGUGAUUGGAAGUGAAAAUGGAAGCGUUUAUUGUUAAAAAGGAAAACUUUAUCACAAUACAAAUCAAGAUCGUGUUGUCACCCAUCACUGACUCCUUCCUGUCAGAGAGGCUACAAACCAGCCACAUCAUCAUGGAUUCCAGGAUCUGUGUGUGACCCAAGGGCAGAAAGGGAACGUUUCAGUACAAACUCUUAGUGCGUGAAGAACACUUGGGGGUUGCUGACAGGACGAACCUCGCAACCUGAACAGUUAGGAACCACAUUCAGUCAGUGAGGGUGCUGGCUUGGCCGACUUAAGAUCAGGCUACAAUAACCUCAUCUGUCUUCCCUGUGAGUGUGAACUCGACUCAUACAGCACCUGCAGCUGCUCUGGGUUAGAGGAGAAAGCACGCUUCAGGAGUGUUUCUUGUACAUAUCUGUAUGUAUACUCCAGCAAUCUCUGUGAUUUGCUUGUUCUGCUGUAUUUGACUCCUUAUUAAAUUGAGACAAGCUUGGGAGGUGUCUCUUUAACCCUUACUCUUACUAGUCACUGUUACGGGUCAUUCUUUUAUAAUAACAGCUAUAAACUGACUGUGUGGUGUGUCUGCCCCAGUUAAUUGGGCUGUGUGUAAUAAAUCACAGACAAACACCAGCACACAAGUUAUCACUUCGUUUGUCAGCCCUGCUGUGUGUUUUAUGACUUGCAGGGUUAACCUUGUUCACUUCAGCCUUAUAAUGUCAUAAUCAAUAAACUGUCUCAAAAAAGUACACAUUUAGGAUCUGUGCAGUGCUGGAGGAUAAGAAUAUAAACUGUUUUCUGAAACAUGUUUAUGUUUUUGUGAUAUGAUCAUUCACAUGGUAUUAGUCCGUGAGAGGAUCUCUGCAGAUAAAAACUGCAGACUUGACCUUGUGCAUGAUUUUAACACCAUGAGUUAUCACACAACAAUACACCAAAGGAACACACUCCUGUUUUUCCCCCUAAUAAAAAAGGCUGAUGAACCAAAUGACACAUGAAUUUGGAAUGAUUAACAAGCUGACAAGCUAGGGAAGCCCCGCCCCCUCCCCCCUCCGGCGCUCUCGCCUCGACUCGAUUUCCUGCUUGAAAGAUGUCAGUGUCUUAGCUAACAUUAGACACGCAUAAAGUUAACAUCGGUUAGCUAUAUUUAUUAGUGAUGACUGAAAAUAGCCCAACACUGCACUGAAAAUUUUGACAGAAUAUAAGAUUAAUUAAGCCUAAAAGGAAGCCUCAAAUAUAAAAAAUUACAAAUAAAUUUCAUGGUAGCGUUUGAUAGAAGGAGGUUUUUUUGCUUUCCUGCGCUGGUCAGCACAGCGGGUAGCGUUGCCACCUCACAGCUCCAGGCUCUUCAGCUUGAUCCUGAGCUCAGGUUUCACAUGUUCUCUUUGUGUCCCUGUGUGUUUAUUCUCAGGCCAUGUUCACACCUGGCAUUAACACGUGUCCUGGGUGAUCAGAUUGUAAGUGGUCAGCACUAAGUUCAGGUGUGAA
Molecule: long non-coding RNA, 2784 nt
Organism: Pangasianodon hypophthalmus (striped catfish)
Lineage: Eukaryota; Metazoa; Chordata; Actinopteri; Siluriformes; Pangasiidae
Exons: 2
Source: RefSeq, a predicted model, not a curated record